AUGCCCCUGGACUUCACCAAGCACUUCAUCGCGGUGCCGAUGGAGUUCAAGCUGAGGAACAGCAUCGGCUGCUCCUGGAGGGUGACGGUGAAGCUGAUGAAUGGCAGGGUGACAGAUCAGGGUUGGGCCACCUACGCCGAUGUUCAUCAGAUCAAGAUCGUCUACAUGGUGACGUUCAAGCUCCUAACUCCCGACACCCUCAAGGUCAUCAUCUUCGACGACGAUGGUAUUGAGGUGGUCAACAAGUGCGGGAAGCACGACGAAGCCUUUGCCGCCAGGGACUAG
This 285-nucleotide ribosomal RNA is filed under the name Triticum aestivum (bread wheat). RNAcentral describes it as "partial small subunit ribosomal RNA". Lineage: Eukaryota; Viridiplantae; Streptophyta; Magnoliopsida; Poales; Poaceae. The record is from RNAcentral.